Nothoprocta perdicaria is the source of this 1523-nucleotide long non-coding RNA. RefSeq lists it as uncharacterized. The record is from RefSeq and is a predicted model, not a curated record. Lineage: Eukaryota; Metazoa; Chordata; Aves; Tinamiformes; Tinamidae. The transcript is spliced from 4 exons.
GUAUGUACAGUUAUGGUGAAAACAGGAGCAAGCUACGACAGUGUUAACAUUCAUGUUUACUUUCCCUCGUUGUGCGCUGACUGUUACCACAGCCCUUUGAUUCGGAGCAUUUGGCUGUGCUUGGAAAUGCAGAUGUGCCAUUUCAGCAACUGCGGUCCAAAGAGGACAUAGCAGGGCUCCUGUCACAAAGCUGCGUGUGUUUCACUCCCAUUUGCCUCGAACAUCUUGCAGCGCUUUCUGAUGGCAGCGCAGCAGGUGGAGAGCAGACCCACGCCGUUCACGAGGCUGCUCGGAGCAUCCGGAUGUGAGAGCUGGGUAUGAAAAGGGCCCAACACCCGCACACUUAUUUGCUAGUGAAUAGCCUUGGACUAGAGUGGUACAUGUGGGAACCCCAGUGUUUCUGCUGAGAGAAGCUGCUGUGCUUCCGUUUGGCUGCAUGCAAACUGAGUGUGCUUCAAACCCAUCUGCUGGACCAGCUUUCCAAGCAACCAGGGCCGAGAAAAUACCACAACUAAAGCUCUUCUGUGCCAUGGAAAGGCCUUUCUCAGGAGCCUUCUCAUUAUUCCAGGCAAGAAAUGAUGGCAGCUCCUGCAGACACAUCUGAACAGGCUGCACAUCUGAACAGAUGUACCACUGGAAGCCUGGACAGAAAUUGCUCCACAGCCUGGCUGGACUGAGUGAUGAGCUAGACAUGAGGCACCAGAAUCUUUGCUCCAUUUUCUGGAGGAAGGAGCAAGAAAUAAACAAAACAAAACAACCCCCCUUUUGGAGCCUUUCCAACUGCCCAGUUGGACGGAGGGGCCAGGUCUACAAACAAACUGCUGCGAGCCAGGAAGUGACCUGGAUUGGAUUGUCUGCUCCAGCGGAAACACAGAGGCAGUUGCUGCCAGCAGACAAGGGCAUAGUUAUAUAAACAACCCUCGUAGGCACUCCUGGAGUAACUUCUGCUGUAUCUUGAAAAGAGAUAGACACCAAUCCACAGAGUAAAUAUCUGGUCACCAAAUGGCUCAAACUAGUAUCAACCAUGAAUACAGACACAGUGCAGGGUCCUUUUGCUUUUAUGCUUUAAAAGUGCAUAAAUAAAUAAAUAAUUCUGUGACCAACAUAUGGCACAAAUUCACAGUGUGAUUUUAAAUCAAAUCAAAACAAAAUUCCACUGGAAUGCUGAAGGCUUCAUACCUCCAUAAGGACAAUUUCUGUGGCAAAUACCAUUUUCCCACUGAAGCCAUUUGGUGGGUACAGGAAAAUCUAAGAUGCUAGAAAUUCUUCUUUUAACCAGGGCAGGAGGGAAAAAUAAAAGUCAUCUUCAGAAACUCGAACAAGCUGAACUCAGAAGAAGCCUGGAAAACUUUAUCCUGUAAAAUUAAAGUUGCAGAAAGUUAGGAGUAUAUCAAAGCAGAAACUAAAAAUGAGUUUCCUGAUGGUAUCAUCUAUCUAUAAAACAACAUAGAAUUAUCUGGAUCUCCUCACCCCCAUUGUAAGUGGAGUGAUUAUGUCUAUUACAAAUCCCUGUGUAGGUUAAG